This 237-nucleotide long non-coding RNA is filed under the name Ricinus communis (castor bean). RNAcentral describes it as "long non-coding RNA (RCOM_LNC000226)". The record is from RNAcentral. Lineage: Eukaryota; Viridiplantae; Streptophyta; Magnoliopsida; Malpighiales; Euphorbiaceae.
CGAGUCCCGCUACUUAGGGUUUCUUCUUGGCCGUGCCCUCGCUGGUGCUGAGCCACCACGGACCGUGAUGGAGGCCGUGGUAGCCACGAAAACCAUGCCAAAAUGACAUUCUUGAGGGUCAUGUGUUGAUGGUUCAACACGGCCAGAGUCCAGGCCGUGCUCAACCUCUAAAAAUAAGCCUUGAUGAAAUCUCGAUGCAAUCCUAUCCAUUCUUGCAUGUAUCGCUCUUAAAAUCAC